UACGUAGGGUGCGAGCGUUGUCCGGAAUUAUUGGGCGUAAAGAGCUCGUAGGCGGUCUGUCGCGUCGAUCGUGAAAACUUGGGGCUUAACCCUGAGCUUGCGGUCGAUACGGGCAUGACUGGAGUUCGGCAGGGGAGACUGGAAUUCCUGGUGUAGCGGUGAAAUGCGCAGAUAUCAGGAGGAACACCGGUGGCGGAGGCGGGUCUCUGGGCCGAUACUGACGCUGAGGAGCGAAAGCGUGGGGAGCGAACAGG
Molecule: ribosomal RNA, 254 nt
Filed under: uncultured bacterium
Lineage: Bacteria
Description: partial 16S ribosomal RNA
Rfam family: Bacterial small subunit ribosomal RNA
Source: RNAcentral